CUUAACACAUGCAAGUCGAGGGGCAGCAUUUUAGUUUGCUUGCAAACUGAAGAUGGCGACCGGCGCACGGGUGAGUAACACGUAUCCAACCUGCCGAUAACUCCGGGAUAGCCUUUCGAAAGAAAGAUUAAUACCGGAUAGCAUACGAAUAUCGCAUGAUAUUUUUAUUAAAGAAUUUCGGUUAUCGAUGGGGAUGCGUUCCAUUAGUUUGUUGGCGGGGUAACGGCCCACCAAGACUACGAUGGAUAGGGGUUCUGAGAGGAAGGUCCCCCACAUUGGAACUGAGACACGGUCCAAACUCCUACGGGAGGCAGCAGUGAGGAAUAUUGGUCAAUGGGCGCGAGCCUGAACCAGCCAAGUAGCGUGAAGGAUGAAGGCUCUAUGGGUCGUAAACUUCUUUUAUAUGGGAAUAAAGUUUUCCACGUGUGGAAUUUUGUAUGUACCAUAUGAAUAAGGAUCGGCUAACUCCGUGCCAGCAGCCGCGGUAAUACGGAGGAUCCGAGCGUUAUCCGGAUUUAUUGGGUUUAAAGGGAGCGUAGGUGGAUUGUUAAGUCAGUUGUGAAAGUUUGCGGCUCAACCGUAAAAUUGCAGUUGAAACUGGCAGUCUUGAGUACAGUAGAGGUGGGCGGAAUUCGUGGUGUAGCGGUGAAAUGCUUAGAUAUCACGAAGAACUCCGAUUGCGAAGGCAGCUCACUAGACUGUCACUGACACUGAUGCUCGAAAGUGUGGGUAUCAAACAGGAUUAGAUACCCUGGUAGUCCACACAGUAAACGAUGAAUACUCGCUGUUUGCGAUAUACAGUAAGCGGCCAAGCGAAAGCAUUAAGUAUUCCACCUGGGGAGUACGCCGGCAACGGUGAAACUCAAAGGAAUUGACGGGGGCCCGCACAAGCGGAGGAACAUGUGGUUUAAUUCGAUGAUACGCGAGGAACCUUACCCGGGCUUAAAUUGCAACAGAAUAUAUUGGAAACAGUAUAGCCGUAAGGCUGUUGUGAAGGUGCUGCAUGGUUGUCGUCAGCUCGUGCCGUGAGGUGUCGGCUUAAGUGCCAUAACGAGCGCAACCCUUAUCUUUAGUUACUAACAGGUCAUGCUGAGGACUCUAGAGAGACUGCCGUCGUAAGAUGUGAGGAAGGUGGGGAUGACGUCAAAUCAGCACGGCCCUUACGUCCGGGGCUACACACGUGUUACAAUGGGGGGUACAGAAGGCGGCUACCUGGUGACAGGAUGCUAAUCCCAAAAACCUCUCUCAGUUCGGAUCGAAGUCUGCAACCCGACUUCGUGAAGCUGGAUUCGCUAGUAAUCGCGCAUCAGCCAUGGCGCGGUGAAUACGUUCCCGGGCCUUGUACACACCGCCCGUCAAGCCAUGAAAGCCGGGGGUACCUGAAGUACGUAACCGCAAGGAGCGUCCUAGGGUAAAACUGGUAAUUGGGGCUAAGUC
Molecule: ribosomal RNA, 1437 nt
Filed under: uncultured organism
Description: 16S ribosomal RNA
Rfam family: Bacterial small subunit ribosomal RNA
Source: RNAcentral